Molecule: ribosomal RNA, 347 nt
Filed under: Phytotriades auratus (El Tucuche golden frog)
Lineage: Eukaryota; Metazoa; Chordata; Amphibia; Anura; Hylidae
Description: partial 12S ribosomal RNA
Source: RNAcentral
AUCGCCAGGGAACUACAAGCAAAGCUUCAAACCCAAGGACUUGACGGUACUCCAUAUCCACCUAGAGGAGCCUGUCCUAUAAUCGAUAAUCCCCGCUUAACCUCACCAUUUUUAGCCUCCCAGUCUGUAUACCUCCGUCGUCAGCUUACCUCGUGAGCGACUCUUAGUAAGCUUAAUGCCCUUACGCCAACACGUCAGGUCAAGGUGCAGCAAAUGAGAUGGGAAGAGAUGGGCUACACUCUCUAUUUUAGAAAAUACGAAAAACUACCUAUGAAACCUAGUCAGAAGGCGAAUUUAGCAGUAAAGGGGGACAAAAGAGCCCCCUUUAAUAUGGCACUGAAGUGUGU